This 2960-nucleotide long non-coding RNA is filed under the name Citrus x clementina. Its description in RNAcentral is "Citrus clementina (C. clementina) long non-coding RNA (CCLE_LNC005289)". The record is from RNAcentral. Lineage: Eukaryota; Viridiplantae; Streptophyta; Magnoliopsida; Sapindales; Rutaceae.
AAGAUUUUUAUUUAUUCUUUUUAAAUAUUUUUUGUAAUAAAUAUUAUUUUAUAUUUAGAAAAUAAAAUAUUAAGUAAAUGAUGUUUUAACCCAUCUUUUCUCUUAAUUUUUUUGUGCCAUAGAAAUUUUUGGGAAUUAUAAAGCUAGUUUGAAGAUAAAUGGUACCUAUUGAGAGGGAAAAUGAUAAAUCUCUCGUGCAACUAUUGCAAGAAUGUGUCAUUUUAUGAUUGGGGUGCUCGUUGAUCGUGAGAUAGAAUCUGGUUCUCAUAAUUUUUUUUAUAUUCGUGGGCUUCUGACAAGAGACAAACCCAAAUGGCAAAGUACCAUUUGACCCUAAGCUCAGUCUGGGCUGCCUUCUAUUUUGGGUCUCGUCAUAGCCCACUAAAAUUGUCAGGACAAUUUUGAUCUGCUUUUUCUUUUUCAUCAGAGUCAAAUCAAGCUAGAGAUACUAUUUUUUGACUUGUUUCAUUAUAGACAAGUUAGGAAUAUUACUGAUAACUUGUUAUGGAAUAUCUAGGUUUGUUACUUGUCAUGAAAGUAGACCGACUAUCCUCACGCCAAUUUUUUUCUUUUUUAAUUUAAUUUAUGUUUAUGCAUUGAUUUCCAUAUAUCUUAUGAUAUAAUUUUUAUGUGUAAUCAGAGCACACCAAAAAUAAAACAAAAUUAUCUAUGAUUUAGACAAGCUAAAAGGAUAUAGCUGAGGUUGGAAAUUAAGUUUAGUUUAUUGCUUUUAUUAUUUUUGAGUAUUUACUUUUAAAUAUAAAUUAAUUUGUGGAGAAUACUACCAAACUAGAACAACGUGGUAUUGAUUUAACAUGUUAUCUCUACCGAAUAUGUUAGUCCUCAAGCUGAAUAUAUUUUUAUUUAAUGCACUCACCAUUUUCUUGCAAGAGCUACUAUAUCGUAACAAUUUUACCAAAACUAAUUAGGUGAUCUGUACUAAUAAAGCCGGUAUCACCUAGUUUAGUAAUCAUAAAAUUUUUUAAGUCGAAAACAAAAAGUGAAAUUUGAACUCUGCUCAGGUAAGUGGAUUAAGUAUUUACAAUAAUAAUAAAAAAAAAAGAUAUCUCGAUCAUAUAAUCAAUAAUCAUGAUAAAAAUACGAGUAACUAAUUAAAAUGAACUCUUCAUAAAAAAAAAGAAAGUGAAUGGCAUAUGGGAUUAUUCAAUCACUUAAGUUGAAGAGAAAAGGCAAGGAAGAAUCUAUGUUGAAAUUGCAAACCAUUCAUGCCAUAAUAGAAAAACCUUUAACCUUUAGCCUUUAUAGUUGGGUCUUGGGCAGAAUAAUAGGAGCAAAAUUGGUGGAGCAGCAGCAAACAGGGGAAGGGGUUCAAUGUGUUCAUAGCUGUCAUACUCCAAUUUCAUAGGGCAGCAGGCAUCACAGGACUAAUUUAGUUAGUAGUGCUCUAUGUCUCAUGUGAGCCUCAGCUUUUACCCUUUUCAGGGCAUCUAAUCACAUGAUUACUGUGUAAAUCUACCUCUCUUUUUCUUUCUUUUCUUUUUUUUUAUUUUUAUUUUUAAAAAAAAAACUUUCUCUUUAUCCAUCAUUGUUUAAAAUGAUUUCUUAUUUUUAUUCGACUCAAAAGUUAGUUUUUACAUUAUUAGUUCACCGACUACUCUCGACUGGUACGAGAUAUUUUUCUCAACUGUCCUCAGGAUGCAUCGAAGUUGAUUUUCUUCCGGUUUUUUAUUUGUAUAUGACAAAAUCAUGUACGGUUUACAUAAAUAUGACAACUUUUAAUCAAUUAAAUUUGUAUGACAUUUUGGUGAUCCCUAGUCUAAAAUGCCCUUAACAUCUCCAACAAAAGCAUGCACCCAGCUUAUAAUGCGCCCAGCAUUCUAAAUUGUUAUCAAACACUUACUAAAAUCAUCACAUUCCCUUAACAAAUUCAAACAUAUUCCAAAAAUUUCUUCAACACAAAUUUUACACGUCAAAUUUGCUGCCGAAUUGAGUUUGUUUAUCAUGCUUAUCGUUUUCGUGACUUCUUUACUUCUAGACUUAUGGACCUGCAGAUAAGUCUAUAAAUCUAGAAGUCUAGAACUGAAGUACAGAAGUCUAGAAUAACUUUUAACAACUUAUUUUUGUUAAUAUUUUUAUUCUGUCAUCACAUAAUUUUUAAGUAAAUAGAUAUGGUACGUGUUAUUGUCUUAUAUAACGGUAAAUGGAUUAAUCAAAUUAAUGAAUACAAGUUCAAUGCCUUCCUAAACUUCCUAACUCAAGUUUUCUUUAAUUUUUUUAACCUAGUUACUUAUAAGAGUAUUUGUGUACUUUCACUUGUUAUUGGGUCAUAGUCUUGGCAUGUAAAUAAUUGGGUCAUUGUCUUGACAUUUUUGCAAGUAUUAAGUCAUAUCCAGUGCAAUUUUCUCAUUUUCUUCAAUAUUUAGAGUUGAUUUUUAUUUUAGGAGGUCCUGAUGGUCUUUUAAUUAUAAAGUAAUUGAAAAAAAAAUUAUGCCACCACUGAGCAAUUUCAAAUAAGCAAUAUUACCAACUUAUAUUAACGGAACUCUUAAGAUUUUAUUUAUAAAUGCAUGGGAACUUAUGUACUUCAAUUUGUAAUUUACAUGUGAUAAAUUAUUGAGGAUUUUGGAAGUUUUAAUAAAGCUCAAAUUGGAAAAUAAUAAUUUUAUGUCAAGUUGGAAUGAAAUAUAUAUCCUGAUUUUGAAUAUACCCAACAAAAUAAUAAUAAUUUUUUUGGAAAAAAAAAAAGAAUAAUGAACUUGUAGUAUUCCAGCCAAUCAUGCUUCAGAGUUCAGAGUCGAGCCAAAUACAGGUGUUGGGAUCUCUCAUCUCGAUCUAACGAUUUUCCCCGAUAAAAUGCCGAUACGAUCAAUACAACGCCUUAUCGCGAUUUUUUCACCUACUGAAAGUCUGAAACCCCGCAACUUAAGUCUUAAAAUCUCCUUGGCGGGCCCCAGUAGAAUUUGCCUCAACAGCUGCCUUGCAGCCUUGCCUUGCCCCCC